GACAGAGGAUGCAAGCGUUAUCCGGAAUGAUUGGGCGUAAAGCGUCUGUAGGUGGCUUUUUAAGUCCGCCGUCAAAUCCCAGGGCUCAACCCUGGACAGGCGGUGGAAACUACCAAGCUGGAGUACGGUAGGGGUAGAGGGAAUUUCCAGUGGAGCGGUGAAAUGCGUAGAUAUUGGAAAGACCACCAAUGGCGAAGGCACUCUACUGGGCCAUUACUGACACUGAGAGACGAAAGCUAGGGGAGCAAAUGGG
Molecule: ribosomal RNA, 253 nt
Filed under: uncultured bacterium
Lineage: Bacteria
Description: partial 16S ribosomal RNA
Rfam family: Bacterial small subunit ribosomal RNA
Source: RNAcentral